UCCCCUGUAGCUCAGCGGUAGAGCAAACGACUGUUAAUCGUAAGGUCGCAGGUUCGAAUCCUGCCGGGGGAG
RNAcentral lists this transfer RNA (72 nucleotides) under Minisyncoccota bacterium. Its description in RNAcentral is "tRNA-Asn". It matches the Rfam family "tRNA". Rfam says of the family: Transfer RNA (tRNA) molecules are approximately 80 nucleotides in length. Their secondary structure includes four short double-helical elements and three loops (D, anti-codon, and T loops). Lineage: Bacteria; Bacillati; Minisyncoccota. The record is from RNAcentral.